This 942-nucleotide long non-coding RNA is filed under the name Equus caballus (horse). RNAcentral's name for it is "lncRNA (ENSECAG00000050501.1)". Lineage: Eukaryota; Metazoa; Chordata; Mammalia; Perissodactyla; Equidae. The record is from RNAcentral.
AGAAAAGGGCAGCAGCUGGGACCUUUUCCUCUUCCAGGCUCCUUACUCUCCAAAAAUACCUUGGCCUGAAGUCACUUGAGAGAAACCAGUUCUGUGAACAGCUACGCCAUUCUCGUGUCCAACCAUGGGUCCAACAGGGACAAAGAGUUCUGCAACUGUUUUGUUCUCCUUUCUGGAGCAUCUUUGAGGAUAAGAUGUGCAACCUUUUCAUCUUUGUGGGAGACAAGCUUAGCCCAGCCUCUGCGUACAGGAAUCCUAUGUCUUAAAUAUUUGAUCAAAGGAAGAAAUGAAGAAAAUGCAGAAGAGAGGAGGGAGCAAGGCCAAGUACAGGCAGCACGAGUGUGGGUGGUCAUGGGGGACAGUGGCAGACAUGGGAGACAUUGAGUUUCAUCACGCUUAGUGACGUUUUGUUGUACCCUUGAACUGUGUGUGCCACACUGUUGAGAGUGGCGUGUAGCUGAUGUGGAUUAAGACUGCCCCAGCUAGAGAAGCCCAAGGUGACCUGGCCUACGUGCCAAACUAUAUGACCCAGUGGAUUUUUUUAUGGUAUGAAUUAGGGCUGCCCCAGGGAGAGAAGCCCAGGGCAUCCUCACCUACAUGCCGAUCUAUAUGGCCAGAUUCGUAUCUAAAAGUUAUAUGACUGCACAAUAACCAGACCCCAUCUGCACUGAAAUCAUUUAAUGACUUUUUACAUCAUCUUUUCUUUUUCCGGUAAAAAUAAGUCACGUACCCAUGCCUUAUAAAAUUAGCCCUAACCCUCAACUCAGGGCAGCAGCAGCAGCUCUGACUGCCCAUGGGUCCUGUCCCCAUGCAGCAGCAGCAGCAGCUCUGACUGCCCAUGGGUCCUGUCCCCAUGCAGCAGCAGCAGAAGCUCUGACUGCCCAUGGGUCCUGUCCCCAUGCUAUUCCACACUAUUCUCUAAAUAAAAAGAGCACUACUGCC